RNAcentral lists this ribosomal RNA (358 nucleotides) under bacterium. RNAcentral describes it as "bacterial SSU rRNA". It matches the Rfam family "Bacterial small subunit ribosomal RNA", at positions 276 to 650 of the family's 1533-position model. The record is from RNAcentral.
ACGAUCCAUAGCUGGUCUGAGAGGAUGAUCAGCCACAUUGGGACUGAGACACGGCCCAAACUCCUACCGGAGGCAGCAGUGGGGAAUAUUGAACAAUGGGCGCAAGCCUGAUCCGGCCAUGCCGCGUGAAUGAUGAAAGCCCUAGGGUUGUAAUGCUCUUUCACCGGAGAAGAUAAUGACGGUAUCCGGAAAAGAAGCCCCGGCUAACUUCCUACCGGCAGCCACGGUAAUACGAAGGGGGCUAGCGUUGUUCGGAAUUACUGGGCGUAAAGCGCCACGUAGGCGGAUCGAUCAGUCAGGGGUGAAAUCCCUGGGCUCAACUCUGGAACUGCCUUUGAUACUGUCGAUCUGGAGUAUG